Molecule: ribosomal RNA, 417 nt
Filed under: Babesia venatorum (nom. ined.)
Lineage: Eukaryota; Apicomplexa; Aconoidasida; Piroplasmida; Babesiidae
Description: SSU rRNA
Rfam family: Eukaryotic small subunit ribosomal RNA
Source: RNAcentral
AGUCUGGUGCCAGCAGCCGCGGUAAUUCCAGCUCCAAUAGCGUAUAUUAAACUUGUUGCAGUUAAAAAGCUCGUAGUUGAAUUUCUGCGUUAUCGAGUUAUUGACUCUUGUCUUUAAUCGAUUUCGCUUUUGGGAUUUAUCCCUUUUUACUUUGAGAAAAUUAGAGUGUUUCAAGCAGACUUUUGUCUUGAAUACUUCAGCAUGGAAUAAUAGAGUAGGACUUUGGUUCUAUUUUGUUGGUUUUUGAACCUUAGUAAUGGUUAAUAGGAACGGUUGGGGGCAUUCGUAUUUAACUGUCAGAGGUGAAAUUCUUAGAUUUGUUAAAGACGAACUACUGCGAAAGCAUUUGCCAAGGACGUUUCCAUUAAUCAAGAACGAAAGUUAGGGGAUCGAAGACGAUCAGAUACCGUCGUAGUC